Molecule: ribosomal RNA, 497 nt
Filed under: uncultured bacterium
Lineage: Bacteria
Description: partial 16S ribosomal RNA
Rfam family: Bacterial small subunit ribosomal RNA
Source: RNAcentral
GACGAACGCUGGCGGCGUGCCUAAUACAUGCAAGUAGGACGCUGAAGAGAGGAGCUUGCUCUUCUUGGAUGAGUUGCGAACGGGUGAGUAACGCGUAGGUAACCUGCCUUGUAGCGGGGGAUAACUAUUGGAAACGAUAGCUAAUACCGCAUAACAAUGGAUGACACAUGUCAUUUAUUUGAAAGGGGCAAUUGCUCCACUACAAGAUGGACCUGCGUUGUAUUAGCUAGUAGGUGAGGUAAUGGCUCACCUAGGCGACGAUACAUAGCCGACCUGAGAGGGUGAUCGGCCACACUGGGACUGAGACACGGCCCAGACUCCUACGGGAGGCAGCAGUAGGGAAUCUUCGGCAAUGGGGGAAACCCUGACCGAGCAACGCCGCGUGAGUGAAGAAGGUUGUCGGAUCGUAAAGCUCUGUUGUAAGUCAAGAACGGGUGUGAGAGUGGAAAGUUCACACUGUGACGGUAGCUUACCAGAAAGGGACGGCUAACUACGUG